UAAUACAAUUAUUAUUAUUAUUAUUCUUAGAGGAAAUUCCGUGCUACAAAUCCAAGCGAGCUGAGUUGGAAUAUACCAUGUUCAGGACUGCGCAUUGCUCAAGUUUUUCACAUACAAUAGAAGCCAUUGGUAGAGGACUAGAGGUCGUACAAUUGACUAACAGUGCCCUCCCCCUUCUGCUCCUGAAAAUUUUGGUUAGCUGCCCAUCCCCACCCACUACCAAAGGUGAGAUAAAAUUCCUGAUGCUGAAGCUUUAUAGCUGAUAGCG
RNAcentral lists this unclassified non-coding RNA (268 nucleotides) under Hevea brasiliensis (rubber tree). Lineage: Eukaryota; Viridiplantae; Streptophyta; Magnoliopsida; Malpighiales; Euphorbiaceae. The record is from RNAcentral.